Molecule: ribosomal RNA, 418 nt
Filed under: uncultured archaeon
Lineage: Archaea
Description: bacterial SSU rRNA
Rfam family: Archaeal small subunit ribosomal RNA
Source: RNAcentral
UUCCGGUUGAUCCUGCCGGACCCGACUGCUAUCAGAGUAGGACUAAGCCAUGCGAGUCAACGUAUGAAUAAUACGUGGCGAACGGCUCAGUAACACGUAGUCAACAUGCCCACAGGACGUGGAUAACCUCGGGAAACUGAGGAUAAACCGCGAUAGGUCAUAACUACUGGAAUGUGUUAUGGCUCAAAUCUAUAUGGCCUUUGGAUUGGACUGCGGCCGAUCAGGCUGUUGGUGAGGUAAUGGCCCACCAAACCUGUAACCGGUACGGGCUCUGAGAGGAGGAGCCCGGAGAUGGGCACUGAGACAAGGGCCCAGGCCCUAUGGGGCGCAGCAGGCGCGAAACCUCUGCGAUGGACGAAAGCCUGACAGGGUUACUCUGAGUGAUUCCCGCUAAGGGGAUCUUUUGGCACCUCUAAAA